UGCAUUCCUGACCCCUUGGGGCCCUAGGGGCACCAUGGUAAGGUGGCUACGAGCCUACGAGAGUGCUGUCUCCUUCCACUUCAGCAACUAUUUUGUGGGCUUUCUGUCUGAGGCCACAGCCACAUUGGCCGGGGCUGGCUUCACGGAGGAGAAGGACCACCUCGAAUGGUGGGGAGGGCUUUGGGGGCCCCUUGUCCCACAGGGUGCUGCCUGGAGGAACUGUAGGGCGGUGGGAGGUUUUCCUGGGAAGGGACCAGUCAAGACAAAAAAAAAAAAAAAAAACACAUAGCACCCAGAUAGCUUGAAAUUCCAACUGUAAUGGAAUGUCUGGUUUUGUCCACCAGGGACCUGACAGUCUCUAGACCAUUGAAUGUGGAGCUACCCCGGUCUAUGGUGGAAGUUGUCACAAGCUGGAACCUGCCCAUGUCUUAUUGGUUAAAUAAUUGUGAGUCACCACGUCAUCACUCCAGAAUAGUUGGGGACCCAGGGCCAUUUGCACAGCAAACAUUUACUGAACAACUACUGUGUGAUGGGCACUGAAGAUGCAUCACAGGCUGUUUGUUAGUGCAUCACAGUUUGUACAGUAUUGAGCCUAGCAUUCUCUAAGUCCAAGAUUUGGUCCCCAGCACCACAAAAACAAAAAACAAAAAAC
Molecule: long non-coding RNA, 652 nt
Filed under: Rattus norvegicus (Norway rat)
Lineage: Eukaryota; Metazoa; Chordata; Mammalia; Rodentia; Muridae
Description: long non-coding RNA NONRATT030438
Source: RNAcentral